GCUGAACAGGGCACUUUCGGCGGCAGGUUCGGCGGCCGAAAGGCCCUCCAGAGCCGAAAGUCAUGCACCUUCGACGGCACUUUCGGCGGCCGAAGGUUCCCUCUAGAGACGAAACUCAUGCAUGUUCGGUGGCACCUUCGGCGGCUGAAACUCCCUUCUAGAGCCGAAAGUCCUCUUUCGGGGGCAGGGUUCGGCAGCCGAUACAUGCUACCAUAGGCAGGUUCGGCGGCCGAAAGAGCCUUCGACUGCCGAACCUGAGUUCUUCCCAAGGGCAGAAACUCAGCCUCAAACAUGUACAAAAGCCUCCCAACUCAUUCCAUCAUAUAUUUACUUAGUCUACAACAUGCAAACUCAAGCAUAUAAGCUCUUAGGGGCUUCAAACUAUCCUAAACCCCAACUACAACACAUCAAACAUUCAUAACCAACAUACAUUACUCAAAAACACACAUUUAACCAAAAACUCAUCAUAAACCUACACAUGUAUUUCUACCCCAAGAAACUUCAUAAAACUUGCUUAAAACAUGAAAUGAACUAUGGAUCUACUCUUACCUCUUGAAGAACGAGAGGAGAGACGAUCCUAGCUCGGAGAUGGGGAGAAAUCAACUCUUUGGUCUCCAAGCUUCAAAACUUGCUCUUUUUGUUCAAAUAUCUUCAAAUCAACAUAAACCUUGUUAAAACAUGAAAGAUCGGAGGAAAAACAUCAAAGAGCAACCAUGGGAGAGCAUGGACUCACCGUUGGCCGAAAAUGGGGAGAAAGCUUGCCCAUUUCGGCCAUGGAGCCCUUUUAUAGGGGCUGCCAGACCACCUUUCGGCAGCCUAAAGUGCGUCCAAAACUCAUGCAAGUUCGUCGGCCGAACAUGAGGUUCGGCGGCCGAACAUGAGGUUCGGCGGCCGAACCUUUGAAACUUUCAGAAGCCUAACUUGCCCCCCUAAACUAUCCAAUGUUCGGCGGUCGAACUUGAGGUUCGGCGGCCGAACCUGGAAAUGCCUCCUUGGUCUUUUUCAUUCAAAAACUCAAAUUCCUUUCUUGCUUAAAACCACAAAAUACAUUAAAACAUUUCAUGAAAACAUGGUUUUACCCUUCUAGAGGUUUCCGACAUUCGAGAUUCCACCGGACGGUAGGAAUUCCGAUACCGGAGUCUAGCCGGGUAUUACAUUCUUCCCUCCUUAAGAACAUUCGUCCCCGAAUGUUCACCAAACAAACAUAGCAUGGCAUAAAACAUAAACAUUCACAUAAAACACAUAACACUUACUUUAAAAGAGAUGAGGAUAUCGCUGGAGCAUGGACUCCCGUGUCUCCCAGGUACACUCCUCAAUGUUGUGGUGAUUCCAAAGGACUUUCACCAUCGGGAUUUCCUUGUUCCUCAACUUUCUGAUCUGGGUGUCUAAGAUCCACACUGGCUGCUCAACAUAGGUGAGAUCUUCUUGGAUCUCCACAUCAGUGUAAUACCCGGCUAGACUCUGGUAUCGGAAUUCCUAUCGUCCGAUGGAAUCUCGGAUGUCGGAAACCUCUAGAAGGGUAAAAUCAUGUUUUUACAAAAUGUUUUAAUGUAUCUUAUGGUUUAAAGCAAAAAAGAAAUUGAGUUUUAAAAGAAAAAGACCAAGGAGACAUUUCCAGGUUCGGCCGCCGAACCUCAGGUUCGGCCGCCGAACCUCAAGUUCGGCCACCGAACAUGGGAUGGUUUAGGGGGGGCAAGUUAGGCUUCCGAAAGUUUCAAAGGUUCGGCCGCCGAACCUCAUGUUCGGCCGCCGAACUUGCAUGAGUUUUGGAGGCAUUUUAGGCUGCCGAAAGGUGGUCUGCCAGCCCCUAUAUAAGAGCUCCAUGGCCGAAACGGGCGAGUUUUCACCCCAUUUUCAGCCACGGUGAGUUCUUGCUCUCCCAUGGUUCAUUUUAGAUGUUUUUCCUUCGAUCUUUCAUGUUUUAACAAGCUUUAUGUUGAUUUGAAGAUAUUUGAACAAAAGAGCGAGUUUUGAAAGCUUGGAGACCAAAGAGUUGAGAUCUCUCCCAUCUCCAAGUUGGAUCGUCUCUCCUCUCGUUCUUCAAGAGGUAAGAGCAGAUCCAUAGUUCCUUUAAUGUUUUAAGUAAGUUUUAUGAAGUUUCUUGGGGUAGAAAUGCAUGUGUAGGUUUAUGUGGAGUUUAUGGGUUUACUGUGUGUUUAUGAGCAAUGUAUGUUUGUUAUGCAUGUUUGAUGUGUUGUAGUUGGGGUUUAGGAUAGUUUGAAACCCCUAGGAGCUUGUAUGCUUGAGUAUGCAUGUUGUAGAAUAUGAAAAUGCAUGAUUGAAUGAGUUGGGAGGCGUUCAUGCAUGUUGAGCUGAAUUUCUGCCCUUUGGAAAGAACUCAGGUUCGGCAGCCGAAGGCUCUUUCGGCCGCCGAACCUUCCUAUGGAGGCCAACUUUUGGCUACCGAACCCUGCCCCCCGAAAGUGGUCUUUCGGCUCUGGAAGGGACUUUCGGCCGCCGAACAUGCAUGAGUUUCGUCUCUGGAGGGAACCUUCGGCCGCCGAAAGUGCCGCCGAAUGUGCAUGAUUUUCGGCUCUAGAGGGCCUUUCGGCCGCCGAACCUGCCGCCGAAAAUGCCCUGUUCAGCCCUCCUUUGCAUGUUUUAUGUGAUUGUUUUAAGGUGUUUUAGGGGGGUUUUGGGGAGUAUUUUAGAGUCAUUUUUAUGUAUGUUAGGUCCCUCAUUUGAGUCCACCUGUGUAGGUUCAGACCCGAGGAACCGAGGACCCCAGCAGUGAGUCAGUCGCUUCAGAGUCAUUAGAGCUUCAGCUAGAGGUGAGUGGAAUAAACACUUAUGUUUUAAAGCAAAUAAAUAUAGAUUUGAGCAUGUUCAUGCAUCACGAAUGCCAUGUGAUAUUCUAGGUUGUUUGCAUUAGAAUUCACGAAUAUGUUGCAUUGCAUAAUUUGAUGAUGAUGUGGAUGGAUGUUGGAUGAUCCUUAGUCCUCAAUAUGAUACAAUGUAAUAUGAUACGGUAUGAUAUGGUAUGGAAGUCCGGUUGACCCAUUCUAUGUCUCGGCACUAUGUAAGAGAAAGACCGGUUGACCCAUUCUACGUCCCGGCACGUUGGAAUGUUAUGAUAUGUUAUGUUUAAGAGAAAGACCGGUUGACCCAUUCUACGUCCUGGCACCUUGGAAUGUAGAGGACUAUUGGUGACAAUACCAUCCUUGAUGUGAAUUGUUUGUGAUGUGUUGCAUCUCAUGAAAGCAUGAAAUUUAAAGUGAAUGUUUAUUUAUUCUGCUCACUGGGCUUUAUAGCUCACCCCUCUCCCUUAACCCCCAGGUUUGCAGGUACAGGGUAGACCAGGAGGUCAGCAGGAGUAGAGUUAUAUUAUGUAAUAGCUAGAUGUGGACAUGAAUAUGUUGUAAUGUAAAAGUAAAGUAUUGAAAUGUUAUGUAUUGAUGCUUAUGGAAGUUUAGAGUUGUGCUUGACCAUAGUAUUAUGUUAAUCCCUUUCUAGUUCAUGAUCUUAAUGUUUAACGAUGAUUAUUGUAAACCAAACUGAAUUUAUGUUAUGUCACCCCAUUGGAGCAUUGAUGAGGACUCCAAGGUGGGGUUAAUGUUUAUGUUUAUGAAUAGUGCAUGCACAGGUUGAGUUUGGUGAUUGAAUGGAAAGAAAAGUUCAAAAUUUUUAUGUAUGUUGUUGAUCAUGUAUGGGAUUAAACAGGUUCACAGGAUGAAUGUUUGGCUUGCUACGGGUCCCGGCGGCCUUAAGCCGAUCUGGAUCCUAGCGCCGGUAGCGGUCCAAUUUUCGGGUCGUUACAGAUUGGUAUCAGAGCCCUAGGUUCAUAUGGUCGGACCUAGAGUGUCGGGCUCAUAGAGGUUAUAGAAGGUCAAGCACAAUAGGAAAAAUCAUGUCCACUAGGAUAGGAUGAAGAGUCCUGUCUUGAAUGAUGAUGUGAAAUGCCAUGAUUUUAUGCAUGUGCAUUAAUGUUAUGCUUUGAUAUGUGAUGCGGGUUCAUGUGUUUGCACAUGAACCAUUUGAUGCUAAUGUUCUAUGUGAUGUAUGCUGUUUUUCAGAAAACAGGAUGAGAGGAACUCGUCGAUCGGCACGAUUGACUGAAGUACUACCCCAGGACGAGGGCACUGAUGCCCGUCCUCCUGCAUUGCCUACGGCAAUGUCAAGUAGGUCCAGCAGAGAAAGAGCAGUAAGAGACCCUAGAAGGUCUUUGGAUCUGGGUAGAAGCAGAUCAGUGAAGGGAACAGUGCAAGGGGAUAUGUCAGAGGAUGUGGGGGAUCAGAUGGAUGUGGAUCAGAGGAGGGAUGGCAGUCUCGGAGUAAGUAUGUCGGAAGAGGGAAUGGGAGAGUCCCAUGGAGGCACUCAGGCCUCGGGAUUUGUUCAGCCACCUUACUACCCACCCUUUUCACAUAAUCCCGGGUAUUCAAUGGGAGGUACAUCGGAUUACCCCAGUUUUAACCCUUAUCACUCUCAGAUGCCAUACCCACCUUUCUACCCACCGUACCCACAGUACCCUAUGUAUCCACCUCCACCCUACCAUCCAGGUACAGCAAACCCUACCCCAGGGGAUGCUGCACCUCCUCCACCACCAGCAGCACCUACUGUCCCAGAAAUCCAAAUGCCUAAACCUAGCUCAUCUGGGGGGAGCAAGGUCAAGAUGACCGAUUACAUGAAGCUGGGUGCUCCCCAGUUUGAAACCGGUGAUGACCCGUUUGUGUACCUCGAAAGGGUUAAGACAAUUACAGAUGAGAUAGGAGCUGAUGACAGUAGAGCCAUUCAGAUGGCUGGGUUCACACUAAAAUGCAAGAAGGCCUGAGAGUGGUUUAAGAACUAUGUGAACCCGAGGUUGGACAGCCUAUCAUGGGAGGAGUUUGCAAAUGAGUUUGCAGGAUGGGUUUUCCCUGACAGUUCAAGAGAAUUGAAGAUGAUUGAGUUCGAGCAACUGAGGCAGACAGAUGAGAUGAGUGUGGAUGAGUUCACAGACAGGUUUUUGGAGCUGUUGCCGUUUGCCGAGCAAAAUCUGGAUACAGAUCAGAAAAAGUCAAGGAGGUAUAUCAUGAAGCUCCAUUCCAGGUAUUCCUCCUUGAUUCAGUCAGCAAAGAGGGAGAGUUUCCAUGCCAUAGUGGAUAUGGCUCGGAGAAUGGAGGCUAGUGCUAUCAUCGAAGGGAAAGUCAAGCAGUCAGUGGCACAGCCUUCUGGUUCCAAGACCCCAGGUGGGGGAAAGUUAGACCCUUCUUCUCUAAGUUCAAGCAGUAAGAGGUGGGGCAACACCACCAGGAAGCCAAAGAAGAACAAGUUCUGGAGCAAGAUCAAGUCAGGUCUGGGAUUAGGAGGUGGUUCUAGCUCAAGUGCAGAUAAUGCAGUAUGCAAGAAGUGUGGGAAGCCGCACAAAGGAGUAUGUCUGGUUGGGACGACAGCCUGCUUCAGAUGUGGGCAGGAGGGACACAUGGCACGGGAGUGUCCUAGGGCAGCUUUUGUGGCACAGUCUCAGCAGACAGCCUGUGGUAGUGUGGCUCAACCAGUAGCUCCAGCCGCGACUCAGGCUAGUGGCAGAGGCAGAGGAAGAGGGGCAGCCUCUUCUUCGGCAGGUUUCAGGGGUGAGGGCCCGUCAGCUCCAGCACGGAUCUUCACCAUGACUCAGCAGGAGGCAAACACAUCCAACACCGUGGUGUCAGGUAAUCUCAUCAUUAGUUGUUCUGAUGUGUAUGCAUUAAUGGACCCUGGUGCAUCUCGUUCUUUCAUUGCUCCGAGGGCCGUCGAGAGGUUGGGAUUGAUGGUCUCUGGGUUAGAGUGUCCCCUAUGGGUCAGUGGACCCAAGUGUGACCCAUGAGUGGCAGAGUCAGUCUGCCAGUGUAGUCUAGUUUUUGUGGAGGGAAGAUGCCUGUCCGCCGACCUUGUGGUUCUAGAUUUGACAGAUUUUGACGUCAUUCUAGGGAUGGAUUGGCUAUCUACCCAUGGUGCUACCUUGGAUUGCAGAGACAAGGUAGUCAGGUUCAGAUGUCAAGAUGGGUCAGAGGUUGUCUUCAGAGGAGACAGGAGGGAUACACCUAGAGGUUUGAUAUCAGCCCUACAGGCUCGUAGGCUCCUCAAGAGGGGUUGUCAGGGUUUUUUAGCUCAUAUGAGAGAGCUGGAUAGUCAUGUCAGAGAGCCCGCCUCACUGCCAGUGGUCAGAGAGUUCUUAGACGUUUUCCCAGACGAACUGCCAGGUUUAUCACCUGCUAGGGAAAUAGAGUUCGAAAUUGAAUUGAUGCCUGGAAUUAGACCGAUCUCUAUCCCUCCCUACAGGAUGGCAACAGCAGAAUUGAAAGAGUUGAAAGAGCAGUUGCAAGAGCUGGUAGAUAGGGGUUUCAUCCGACCGAGCACCUCACCUUGGGGUGCUCCAGUGCUAUUUGUGAAAAAGAAGGAUGGAUCUCUCAGACUUUGUAUCAACUACAGGCAGUUGAACAAGGUCACUACCAAGAACAAGUACCCAUUGCCAAGGAUCGACGAUCUAUUCGACCAGCUAGCAGGAGCAGGUUGUUUCUCCAAAAUAGAUCUGAGAUCGGGGUAUCAUCAGCUGAGGAUAAGAGAAGAGGAUGUACCGAAAACAGCAUUCAGGACUAGAUAUGGGCACUAUGAGUUCCUUGUGAUGCCGUUCGGGUUAACCAACGCCCCUGCAGCAUUCAUGGAUCUCAUGAACAGAGUGUUUAGCCAGUACCUGGAUCACUUUGUUAUUGUCUUCAUAGAUGAUAUCUUAGUGUAUUCCAUGAAUGCAGAGGAGCAUGCCCAUCAUCUGAGGUUAGUUCUACAGACCUUGAGUGAACAUGGCUUGUAUGCCAAGUUCUCCAAGUGUGAGUUCUGGCUGAGGAGCAUCUCCUUCUUGGGGCAUAUGGUGUCAGAAAAUGGAAUCGAGGUAGACCCCAAGAAAGUGGAAGCUGUAGCUAACUGGCCUAGACCCACUACAGUGAUAGAGAUCAAAAGCUUAUUGGGCUUGGCAGGUUACUACAGGAGGUUCGUUCAGGACUUCUCUAAGAUUGCAGCUCCUAUGACCAUAUUGACUAAGAAGAACCAGAGGUUUGUGUGGACCGACCAGUGUGAAGAGAGCUUUGAGGAGCUCAAGAAGAGGUUGACUUCAGCACUAGUUUUAGCUCUUCCAGCUAGUAAUGAAGACUUCUCAGUGUAUUGUGAUGCGUCCCGUGUGGGACUGGGUUGUGUGCUAAUGCAGAAUGAAAGGGUGAUUGCUUAUGCUUCUAGGCAGCUGAAGAAGCACGAGUUGAAUUACCCUACACAUGACCUAGAGAUGGCAGCAGUAAUCUUUGCACUCAAGAUGUGGAGGCAUUACCUUUAUGGGGUAAAAUGUGAGAUCUUCACAGAUCAUAAGAGCCUACAGUACAUCCUGAGUCAGAGAGAGCUGAAUUUGAGACAGAGAAGAUGGGUAGAACUGCUAAGUGACUACGAUUGCAAGAUCCAGUACCAUCCGGGUAAGGCGAAUGUUGUGGCAGACGCCUUAAGCCGGAAAUCACUUGGCAGUUUGUCCCAUAUUUCAGCAGAGAGGAGGCCAAUAGUGAGGGAGUUCUUCGAGCUCAUCAAUGAAGGUCUACAGUUGGAGUUGUCUGGUACAGGUGCUUUGAUUGCCCAGAUGAGAGUGGCACUCGUGUUUCUGGAGUAGGUGGCUCAGAAACAGCAUGAGGACCUAGAAUUAGUGAAGAUUGCCAGGACUAUUCAGUCAGGCAAAGAUAGUGAGUUCAGAUUCGACAGCAAGGGGAUCCUCCGCUAUGGAAUCAGAUUGUGUGUACCAGAUGACGUAGGGCUGAAGGGAGACAUUAUGAGAGAGGCUCAUAAUGCCAGAUACAGUGUUCACCCUGGAGCCACCAAAAUGUAUCAAGAUCUGAAGAAAGUGUAUUGGUGGCCAGCAAUGAAGAGAGAAGUUGCACAGUACGUGUCAGCCUGCGAAAUAUGUCAGAGGGUGAAGCUGGAACAUCAGAAGCCGGCUGGAAUGCUUAACCCACUACCUAUUCCAGAGUGGAAAUGGGAGAAUAUAGCUAUGGACUUCGUGGUGGGGUUACCAGCGACGUCCAACAGAUUAGACUCCAUAUGGGUGAUUGUGGACAGACUGACCAAAUCUGCUCACUUCAUCCCUGUCAAGAGUGGCUAUUCUGUGGACAAGUUGGCGCAGGUGUAUGUAGAUGAGAUUGUCAGACUGCAUGGGGUUCCUGUUUCAAUAGUAUCUGAUCGAGGGCCCCAGUUCACCUCUAGGUUUUGGCGGAGUCUGCAGAAUGCUAUGGGUACCAGGUUGGAUUUUAGCACUGCUUUCCAUCCACAAACUGACGGACAGUCAGAGAGGACCAUCCAAACAAUAGAAGAUAUGCUCAGAAUGUGUGUGCUGGAUUUUGGCGGUUCUUGGAGGCAGCAUCUACCUUUGGUGGAGUUUGCUUACAAUAACAGCCAUCAUGCUAGCAUCGGGAUGGCUCCAUAUGAAGCUUUAUAUGGAAGGAAGUACAGAUCGCCUGUUUGUUGGGAAGAAAUUGGAGAAAAGGCCUUGGCAGGGCCUGAGCUAGUAGAGAUCACCAGCAGAAUGGUGCCCAUAAUCAGAGAAAGAAUCAAGACUGCUGCAAGCAGGCAAAAGAGUUAUGCAGAUAUCCGCAGAAGGCAAGUAGAGUUUCAGGAGGGGGAUUUGGUAUUGCUCAAGGUGUCUCCAAUGAAAGGGGUGAUUCGGUUCGGAAAGAAAGGUAAGCUAGCUCCAUGGUACAUGGGACCCUUUGAAGUCUUGCAAAAGAUUGGGAAUGUAUCGUACAAGCUGGACUUGCCUGCUUCAAUGGAAAGAAUCCAUCCGGUUUUCCAUGUUUCCAUGUUAAGGAAGUUCGUGUCAGAUCCGGGCAAGGUUCUUAGUGAGCCUGAUGUGGAGAUCCAAGAGGUUCUCACCUAUGUUGAGCAGCCAGUGCGGAUCCUAGACACCCAGAUCAGAAAGCUAAAGAACAAGGAAAUCCCGAUGGUGAAAGUCCUUUGGAAUCACCACAACAUCGAAGAGUGUACCUGGGAGACACGGGAGUCUAUGCUCCGGCAAUAUCCUUAUCUCUUCUAAGGUAAGUUUUUAUGUGCUUUGUAUGAAUGUUUGUGUUUUAUCCUUGCCAUGUGUUUGUUUGGUGAACAUUCGGGGACGAAUGUUCUUAAGGGGGAAGAAUGUAAUACCCGGCUAGACUCCGAUAUCGGAAUUCCUACCGUCCGGUGGAAUCUCGGAUGUUGGAAACCUCUAGAAGGAUAAAAUCAUGUUUUUACAAAAUGUUUUAAUGUAUCUUAUGGUUUUAAGCAAAAAGAAAAUUGAGUUUUAAAAGAAAAAGACCAAGGAGACAUUUUCAAGUUCGGCCGCCGAACCUCAUGUUCGGCCGCCGAACUUGGAUGAGUUUUGGAGGCACUUUAGGCUACCGAAAGGUUGUCUGCCAGCCCCUAUAUAAGAGCUCUAUGGCCGAAACGGGCGAGUUUUCUCCCUAUUUUCGGCCACGGUGAGUUCUUGCUCUCCCAUGGUUCAUUUUAGAUGUUUUUCCUUCGAUCUUUCAUGUUUUAACAAGCUUUAUGUUGAUUUGAAGAUAUUUGAACAAAAUAGCAAGUUUUGGAAGCUUGGAGACCAAAGAGUUGAGAUCUCUACCAUCUCCAAGUUGGAUCGUCUCUCUUCUCGUUCUUCAAGAGGUAAGAGCAGAUCCAUAGUUCCUUUAAUGUUUUAAGUAAGUUUUAUGAAGUUUCUUGGGGUAGAAAUGCAUGUGUAGGUUUAUGUGGAGUUUAUGGGUUUACUGUGUGUUUAUGAGAAAUGUAUAUUGGUUAUGCAUGUUUGAUGUGUUGCAGUUGGGGUUUAGGAUAGUUUGAAACCCUAGGAGCUUGUAUGCUUGAGUAUGCAUGUUGUAGAAUAGGAAAAUGCAUGAUUGAAUGAGUUGGGAGGCGUUUAUGCAUGUUGAGCUGAGUUUCUACCCUUUAGGAAGAAUUCAGGUUCGGCAGCCGAAGGCUCUUUUGGCCGCCGAACCUGCCUGUGGAGGCCAACUUUUGGCUGCCGAACCCUGCCCCCGAAAGUGGACUUUCGGCUCUGGAAGGGACUUUCGGCCGCGGAAGGUGCCGCCGAACAUGCAUGAGUUUCGUCUCUGGAGGGAACCUUCGGCCGCCGAAAGUGCCGCCGAAAGUGCAUGACUUUCGGCUCUAGAGGGCCUUUCGGCCGCCGAACCUGCCGCCGAAAGUGCCCUGUUCAGCCCUCCUUUGCAUGAUUUAUGUGAUUGUUUUAAGGUGUUUUAGGGGGUUUUUGGGGAGUAUUUUAGAGUCAUUUUUAUGUAUGUUAGGUCGCUCAUUUGAGUCCACCUGUGUAGGUUCGGACCCGAGGAACCGAGGACCCCAGCAGUGAGUCAGUCGCUUCAGAGUCAUUAGAGCUUCAGCCAGAGGUGAGUGGAAUAAGCACUUAUGUUUUAAAGCAAAUAAAUAUAGAUUUGAGCAUGUUCAUGCAUCACGAAUGCCAUGUGAUAUUCUAGGUUGUUUGCAUUAGAAUUCACGAAUAUGUUGCAUUGCAUAAUUUGAUGAUGAUGUGGAUGAAUGUUGGAUGAUCCUUAGUCCUCAAUAUGAUACGAUGUAAUAUGAUACGGUAUGAUAUGGUAUGGAAGUCCGGUUGACCCAUUCUAUGUCCCGGCACUAUGUAAGAGAAAGACCGGUUGACCCAUUCUACGUCCCGGCACGUUGGAAUGUUAUGAUAUGUUAUGUUUAAGAGAAAGACCGGUUGACCCAUUUUACGUCCCGGCACCUUGGAAUGUAGAGGAUUAUUGGUGACAAUACCAUCCUUGAUGUGAAUUGUUUGUGAUGUGUUGCAUCUCAUGAAAGCAUGAAAUUUAAAGUGAAUGUUUAUUUAUUCUGCUCACUGGGCUUUAUAGCUCACCCCUCUCCCUUAACCCCCAGGUUUGCAGGUACAGGGUAGACCAAGAGGUCAGUAGGAGUAGAGUUAUGUUAUGUAAUAGCUAGAUGUGGACAUGAAUAUGUUGUAAUGUAAAAGUAAAGUAUUGAAAUGUUAUGUAUUGAUGCUUAUGGAAGUUUAGAGUUGUGCUUGACCAUAGUAUUAUGUUAAUCCCUUUCUAGUACAUGAUCUUAAUGUUUAACGAUGAUUAUUGUAAUCCAAACUUAAUUUAUGUUAUGUCACCCCAUUGGAGCAUUGAUGAGGACUCCAAGGUGGGGUUAAUGUUUAUGUUUAUGAAUAGUGCAUGCACAGGUAGAGUUUGGUGAUUGAAUGGAAAGAAAAGUUCAAAAUUUUUAUGUAUGUUGUUGAUCAUGUAUGGGAUUAAACAGGUUCACAGGAUGAAUGUUUGGCUUGCUACGGGUCCCGGCGGCCUUAAGCCGAUCUGGAUCCUAGCGCCGGUAGCGGUCCAAUUUUCGGGUCGUUACAGAUUGGUAUCAGAGCCCUAGGUUCAUAUGGUCGGACCUAGAGUGUCGGGCUCAUAGAGGUUAUAGAAGGUCAAGCACAAUAGGAAAAAUCAUGUCCACUAGGAUAGGAUGAAGAGUCCUGUCUUGAAUGAUAAUGUGAAAUGCCAUGAUUUUAUGCAUGUGCAUUAAUGUUAUGCUUUGAUAUGUGAUGCGGGUUCAUGUGUUUGCACAUGAACCAUUUGAUGUUAAUGUUCUAUGUGAUGUAUGCUGUUUUUCAGAAAACAGGAUGAGAGGAACUCGUCGAUCGGCACGAUUGACUGGAGUACUACCCCAGGACAAGGGCACUGAUGCCCGUCCUCCUGCAUUGCCUAGGGCAAUGUCAAGUAGGUCCAGCAGAGAAAGAGCAGUAAGAGACCCUAGAAGGUCUUUGGAUCUGGGUAGAAGCAGAUUAGUGAAGGGAACAGUGCAAGGGGAUAUGUCAGAGGAUGUGGGGGAUCAGAUGGAUGUGGAUCAGAGGAGGGAUGGCAGUCUCGGAGUAAGUAUGUCGGAAGAGGGAAUGGGAGAGUCCCAAGGAGGCACUCAGGCCUCGGGAUUUGUUCAGCCACCUUACUACCCACCCUUUUCACAUAAUCCCGGGUAUUCAAUGGGAGGUACAUCGGAUUACCCCAGUUUUAACCCUUAUCACUCUCAGAUGCCAUACCCACCUUUCUACCCACCGUACCCAUAGUACCCUAUGUAUCCACCUCCACCCUACCAUCCAGGUACAGCAAACCCUACCCCAGAGGAUGCUGCACCUCCUCCACCAGCAGCAGCACCUACUGUCCCAGAAAUCCAAAUUCCUAAACCUAGCUCAUCUGGGGGGAGCAAGGUCAAGAUGACCGAUUACAUGAAGCUGGGUGCUCCCCAGUUUGAAACCGGUGAUGACCCGUUUGUGUACCUCGAAAGGGUUAAGACAAUUACAGAUGAGAUAGGAGCUGAUGACAGUAGAGCCAUUCAGAUGGCUGGGUUCACACUAAAAUGCAAGAAGGCCCGAGAGUGGUUUAAGAACUAUGUGAACCCGAGGUUGGACAGCCUAUCAUGGGAGGAGUUUGCAAAUGAGUUUGCAGGAUGGGCUUUCCCUGACAGUUCAAGAGAAUUGAAGAUGAUUGAGUUCGAGCAUUUGAGGCAGACAGAUGAGAUGAGUGUGGAUGAGUUCACAGACAGGUUUUUGGAGCUGUUGCCGUUUGCCGAGCAAAAUCUGGAUACAGAUCAGAAAAAGUCAAGGAGGUAUAUCAUGAAGCUCCAUUCCAGGUAUUCCUCCUUGAUUCAAUCAGCAAAGAGGGAGAGUUUCCAUGCCAUAGUGGAUAUGGCUCGGAGAAUGGAGGCUAGUACUAUCAUCGAAGGGAAAGUCAAGCAGUCAGUGGCACAGCCUUCUGGUUCCAAGACCCCAGGUGGGGGAAAGUUAGACCCUUCUUCUCUGAGUUCAAGCAGUAAGAGGUGGGGCAACACCACCAGGAAGCCAAAGAAGAACAAGUUCUGGAGCAAGAUCAAGUCAGGUCUGGGAUUAGAAGGUGGUUCGAGCUCAAGUGCAGAUAAUGCAGUAUGCAAGAAGUGUGGGAAGCCGCACAAAGGAGUAUGUCUGGUUGGGACGACAGCCUGCUUCAGAUGUGGGCAGGAGGGACACAUGGCACGGGAGUGUCCUAGGGCAGCUUUUGUGGCACAUUGGAGCAUUGAUGAGGACUCCAAGGUGGGGUUAAUGUUUAUGUUUAUGAAUAGUGCAUGCACAGGUUGAGUUUGGUGAUUGAAUGGAAUGAAAAGUUCAAAAUUUUUUUGUAUGUUGUUGAUCAUGUAUGGGAUUAAACAGGUUCACAGGAUGAAUGUUUGGCUUGCUACGGGUCCCGGCGGCCUUAAGCCGAUCUGGAUCCUAGCGCCGGUAGCGGUCCGAUUUUCGGAUCGUUACAAUCAGGCUCACAAAGAACCUUGCCCGGAUCUGACACGAACUUUCUUAACAUGGAAACAUAGAAAACCGGAUGGAUUCUUUCCAUUGAAGUAGGUAAAUCCAGCUUAUACGAUAUAUUCCUGAUCUCCUGCAAGAUCUCAAAUGGUCCGAUGUACCGUGGAGCUAGCUUACCUUUCUUCCCAAACCGAAUCACCCCUUUCAUUGGAGACACUUUGAGCAAUACCAAAUCCCCCUCCUGAAACUCUACUUGCCUUCUGCGGACAUCUGCAUAACUCUUUUUCCUGCUUGCAGCAGUCUUGAUCCUUUCUCUGAUUAUGGGCACCACUCUGCUGGUGAUCUCUACUAGCUCAGGCCCUGCUAAGGCCUUUUCCCCAACUUCUUCCCAACAGACAGGCGACCUGCACUUCCUUCUAUACAAAGCCUCAUAUGGAGCCAUCCCGAUGCUAGCAUGAUGGCUGUUAUUGUAGGCAAACUCCACCAAAGGUAGAUGCUGCCUCCAAGAACCGCCAAAAUCCAGCACACACAUUCUGAGCAUAUCCUCUAUUGUUUGGAUGGUCCUCUCCGAUUGUCCAUCCGUCUGAGGAUGGAAAGUAGUGCUAAAAUCCAACUUGGUACCCAUAGCAUUCUGUAGACUCCGCCAAAACCUGGAGGUGAACUGGGGCCCUCUAUCAGACACUAUUAAAACAGGAACCCCAUGCAACCUGACAACCUCAUCAACAUACACCUGCGCCAACUUGUCCACAGAAUAGCCACUCCUGACAGGGAUGAAGUGAGUAGAUUUGAUCAGUCUGUCCAUAAUCACCCAUAUGGAGUCUAGUCUAUUGGACGCUGCCGGUAGCCCCACCACGAAGUCCAUAGCUAUAUUCUCCCAUUUCCACUCUGAAAUAGGUAGUGGGUUAAGCAUUCCAGCCGGCUUCUGAUGUUCCAGCUUCACCCUUUGACAUACUUCGCAGGCUGACACGAACUGUGCCACUUCUCUCUUCAUAGCUGGCCACCAAUAAACCCUCUUCAGAUCUUGAAACAUUUUGGUGGCUUCAGGGUGAACACUGUAUUUGGCAUUAUGAGCCUCUCUCAUAAUGUCUCCCUUCAGUCCCACGUCAUCUGGUACACACAAUCUAUUCCCAUAGCGGAUGAUCCCCUUACUGUCAAAUCUGAACUCUUCAUUCUUGCCUGACUGAAUAGUCUUGGCAAUCUUUACUAACUCUGGGUCCUCGUGUUGUUUCUGAGCCACCUGCUCCAGAAACACGGGUGCCACUCUCAUCUGGGCUAUCAAAGAACCUGUACCAGACAACUCCAACUAUAGACCUUCAUUAAUGAGCUCGAAGAACUGCCUCACCACUGGUCUUCUCUCUGCUGAAAUAUGGGACAAACUGCCAAGUGAUUUCCGGCUUAAGGCGUCUGCCACAACAUUCGCCUUACCCGGAUGGUACUGGAUCUUGCAAUCAUAGUCACUAAGCAGUUCUACCCAUCUUCUCUGCCUCAAAUUCAGCUCUCUCUGACUCAGGAUGUACUGCAGGCUUUUAUGAUCUGUGAAGAUCUCACAUUUUACCCUAUAAAGGUAAUGCCUCCACAUCUUGAGUGCAAAGAUUACCGCUGCCAUCUCUAGAUCAUGUGUAGGGUAAUUCAACUCGUGCUUCUUCAGCUGCCUAGAAGCAUAAGCAAUCACCCUUUCAUUCUGCAUUAGCACACAACCUAGUCCCACACGGGACGCAUCACAGAAAACCGUAAAGUCUUCAUUACUAGUUGGCAGAGCCAACACUGGUGCUGAAGUCAACCUCUUCUUGAGCUCCUCAAAGCUCUCUUCACACUGGUCGGUCCACACAAACCUCUGGUUCCUCUUAGUCAGUCUGGUCAUAGGAGCUGCAAUCUUAGAGAAGUCCUGGAUGAACCUCCUGUAGUAACCUGCCAAACCCAAGAAGCUGUUGAUCUCUGUCACUAUAGUGGGUCUAGGCCAGUUAGCUACAGCUUCCACUUUCUUGGGGUCUACCUCGAUUCCAUUUUCUGACACAACGUGCCCCAAGAAUGAAAUGCUCCUCAGUCAGAACUCACACUUGGAGAACUUGGCAUACAAGCCGUGUUCCCUCAAGGUUUGCAGAACUAAGCUCAGAUGAUGGACAUGCUCCUCUGCAUUCCUGGAAUACACUAAGACAUCAUCUAUGAAGACAAUAACAAAGUGAUCCAGGUACUGGCUAAAUACUCUGUUCAUGAGAUCUAUGAAUGCUGCAGGGGCAUUGGUUAACCCGAACGGCAUCACAAGGAACUCAUAGUGCCCAUAUCUAGUCCUGAAUGUUGUCUUCGGCACAUCCUCUUCUCUUAUCCUCAGCUGAUGGUACCCCGAUCUCAGAUCUAUUUUGGAGAAACAACCUGCUCCUGCUAGCUGGUCGAAUAGAUCGUCGAUCCUUGGCAACGGGUACUUAUUCUUGGUAGUGACCUUGUUCAACUGUCUGUAGUCGAUACAAAGUCUGAGAGAUCCAUCCUUCUUUUUCACAAAUAGCACUGGAGCACCCCAAGGUGAGGUACUCGGUCGGAUGAAGCCUCUAUCUACCAACUCUUGCAAAUGCUCCUUAAGCUCCUUCAAUUCUGCUGGUGCCAUCCUGUAGGGAGGGAUAGAGAUCGGUCUGGUUUCAGGCAUCAAUUCAAUUUCAAACUCUAUUUUCCUAGCAGGUGGUAAACCUGGCAACUCAUCUGGAAAAACGUCUAAGAACUCACUGACCACUGGCACUGAGGCGGGCUCUCUGACAUGACUAUCCAGCUCUCUCACAUGAGCUAGAAAACCCUGACAACCCCUCCUGAGUAACCUACGAGCCUGAAGGGCUGAUAUCAAACCUCUAGGUGUACUCCCCCUGUCUCCCUUGAAGACAACCUCUGACCCAUCCUGACAUCUGAACUUGACUACCUUGUCUCUGCAAUCCAAGGUAGCACCAUAUGUAGAUAGCCAAUCCAUCCCUAGAAUGACGUCAAAAUCUGUCAAAUCUAGAACCACAAGGUCAGCUGAAAGGCAUCUUCCCUCAACGAAAACUGGACUAUACUGGCAGACUGACUCUGCCACUGACGGGUCACACUUGGGUCCACUGACCCAUAGGGGACACUCUAACCCAGAGACCAUCAAACCCAAUCUCUCGACGGCCCUCGAAGCAAUGAAAGAAUGAGAUGCACCAGGGUCUAUUAAGGCAUAAACAUCCGAGCAACGAAUGAUGAGAUUACCUGCCACCACGGUGUUCGAUGCAUUUGCCUCCUGCUGUGUCAUUGUGAAGAUCCGUGCUGGGGCUGAUGGACCUUCACCUCUGAAACCCGCGGAAGAAGAGGCUGCCCCUCUCCCUCUGCCUCUGCCACUGGCCUGAGUCGCGGCUGGAGCCACUGGUUGAGCCACACUACCGGAGGCUGUCUGCUGAGACUGUGCUACAAAAGCUGCUCUAGGACACUCCCGAGCCAUGUGUCUCUCCUGCCCACACCUGAAGCAGGCUGUCGUCCCAACCAGACAUACACCCAUGUGCGGCUUCCCACACUUCCUACAUACUGCAUUAUCUGCACCUAAGCUUGAGCCACUUCCCAAUCCCAGACCUGACUUGAUCUUGCUCCAGAACUUGUUCUUCUUUGGCUUCUUGGUGGUAUUGCCCCACCUCUUACUGCCUGAACUCAGAGAAGAAGGGUCUAACUUUCCCCCACCUGGGGUCUUGGAACCGGAAGGCUGUGCCACUGACUGCUUGACUUUCCCUUCGAUGAUUGCACUAGCCUCCAUCCUCCGAGCCAUAUCCACUAUGGCAUGGAAACUCUCCCUCUCUGCUGACUGGAUCAAGGAGGAAUACCUGGAAUGGAGCCUCAUGAUAUACCUCCUUGACUUCUUCUGAUUUGUGUCCAGAUUCUGCCCAGCAAACGGUAACAGCUCCAAGAAUCUGUCUGUAUACUCAUCCACACUCAUCUCAUCUGACUGCCUCAACUGCUCAAAUUCAAUCAUCUUCAACUCCCUUGAACUGUCAGGGAAAGCCCAUCCUGUAAACUCAUUUGCAAACUCCUCCCAUGAUAGGCUGUCCAAUCUCGGGUUCACAUAGUUCUUGAAUCACUCACGGGCCUUCUUGUAUUUUAGUAUGAACUCGGCCAUCUGAAUGGCUCUACUGUCAUCAGCUCCUAUCUCAUCUGUAAUCAUUUUGACCCUCUCAAGGUACACAAACGGGUCAUCACCGGUUUCAUACUGGGGAGCACCCAGCUUCAUGUAGUCGGUCAUCUUGACCUUGCUCCCUCCAGAUGAGCUAGGUUUAGGCAUUUGGGUUUCUGGGACAGUAGGUGCUGCUGGUGGUGGAGGAGGUACAACAUCCCCUGGAGUAGGGUUUGCUGUACCUGGGUAGAAGGACGGGGGUGGGUACAUAGGGUACUGUGGGUAUGGUGGGUAGAAAGGUGGGUAUGGCAUGUGGGAGUGGUAAGGGCUAAAGCUGGGGUAAUCCGAUGUACCUCCCAUCGAAUACCCGGGAUUCUGAGAAAAGGGUGGGUACUGGGGUGGCUGAACAAAUCCCGAGGCCUGAGUGCCUCCUUGGGACUCUCCCAUACCCUCAUCCGACAUACUCACUCCAAGACUGCCAUCCCUCCUCUAAUCCACAUCCAUAUCAUCCCCCACAUCCUCUGACAUUCCUCCUUGCACUGUUCCCCUUACUGAUCUGCUUCUGUUCAUAUCCAAAGACCUUCUAGGGUCUCUCACUGCUCUUUCCCUGCUAGACCUGCUAGACAUUGCCCUUGGCAAUGCAGGGGGAUGGGCACUCAUUCCCUCAUCCUCCGGUGGUACUCCAGUCAAUCGUGCAGAUCGACGAGUUCCUCUCAUCCUAUUUAUUGAAAAACAACACAGCACACAUCACAUAAACAUUAGCAUCAAAUGGUUCAUGUGCAAACACAUGAACCCGCAUCACAUAUAUCACAUAUCAUAGCAUAACUUUAAUGCACAUGCUUAUGAUCAUGGCAUUUCACAUCAUCAUUCAAGACAGGACUCUACAUCCUAUCCUAGUGGACAUGAUUUUCCUAUUGUGCUUGACCUUCUAGAACAUCCAUGAGCCCGACACUCUAGGUCCAACCAUAUGAACCUAGGGUUCUGAUACUAAUCUGUAACGACCAGAAAAUUGGACCGCUACCGGCGCUAGGAUCCAGAUCGGCAUAAGGCCGCCGAGACCCGUAGCAAGCCAAACAUUCAUCCUGUAAGCCUGUUUAAUCCCAUACAUGAUCAACAAUUACAUAAAAAUUUAAAACUUUCUCAUUUGGUCAUUCAUUCACUCAUUCUUUCAUUCAUUCUUUCAUUCAUUCUUUCAUUCAUUCUUAACCUGUGCAUGCACAAAUCAUAAUAUAAAACCUCGCACUGAAGUCCUCAUCAAAUACUCCAAUGGGGUAACAUAACAUACAUUAAGCUUGGUUUACAAUAAUCAUCAUUAAACAUUUAAGAUCAUGUACCACAAAGGGAUUAACAAUAUACUAGGAUCAAGCACAAUUAUAUACCUCAAUACUCAUUUUUACAUUACAUAACUAUUUAAUACCAUUCAUUACAUUACUGAACUAUACAUUACAUUUCAAUAUUUAUCAUGUCCACCACUAGCUAUUACAUGACCAUAACUUUACUCUAGCUGACCUCCUGGUCUAUCCCGUACCUGCAAACCUGGGGGAUUAAGGGAGAGGGGUGAGCUAUAAAGCCCAAUGAGCAGAAUAAAUAAACAUUCAAUUUUAAUUUCAUGCUUUCAUGAAAUGCAACACAUCACAAACAAAUCACAUCAAGGAUGAACUUGUCCCCAAUAGCCCUCUACAUAAUUCCAUAGUGCCAGAACGUAGAAUGGGUCCUGGUCUUUCACUUAAACAUAAUAUUCCAAAGUGCCAGAACCUAGAAUGGGUCCUGGUCUUUCUCUUACAUGGUGCCAGCGAACAUAGAAUGGGUCCCACUGGUCUUUCAUUCCGUACCGUACAUAUCAUAUCAUCACAUCAUAGAUUGAGGGCUAUGGAUCAUCCAAUAUCCAUCCGCAUCAACAACAUAUUAUGCAAUGCAACAUAUUCGUGAAUUCUAAUGCAAGCAACCUAGUAUAUCUCAUGGCAUACGUGAUGCAUGUAUCAUGCUCAAAUUUUAUUUAUUUGCUUUGAAACGUGAAAAAUUAUUCCACUCACCUCUGGCUGAAGCUCUAAUGACUCUGAAGUAGCUAUCUCACUGCUGAGGGCCUCGGUUCCUCGGGUCCAAACCUACACAGGUGGACUCAAAUGAGGGACCAAACAUCCAUAAACAUGACUCUAAAAUACUCCCCAAAAAUCCCCCUAAAAGACCUUAAAACAAUCACAUAAAUCAUGCAAAGGAAGGCUGAACAGGGCACUUUCGGCGGCAGGUUCGGCGGCCGAAAGGCCCUCCAGAGCCGAAAGUCAUGCACCUUCGGCGGCCGAAGGUUCUCUCCAGAGACGAAACUCAUGCAUGUUCGGCGGCACCUUCGGCGGCCGAAACUCCCUUCCAGAGCCGAAAGUCCUCUUUCGGGGGCAGGGUUCGGCAGCCGAUACAUGCUACCACAGGCAGGUUCGGCGGCCGAAAAAGCCUUCGGCUGCCGAACCUGAGUUCUUCCCAAGGGCAGAAACUCAGCCUCAAACAUGUACAAAAGCCUCCCAACUCAUUCCAUCAUACAUUUACUUAGUCUACAACAUGCAAACUCAAGCAUAUAGGCUUCUAGGGGCUUCAAACUAUCCUAAACCCC
RNAcentral lists this long non-coding RNA (19947 nucleotides) under Manihot esculenta (cassava). Its description in RNAcentral is "long non-coding RNA (MESC_LNC002212)". The record is from RNAcentral. Lineage: Eukaryota; Viridiplantae; Streptophyta; Magnoliopsida; Malpighiales; Euphorbiaceae.